RNAcentral lists this ribosomal RNA (1391 nucleotides) under Streptomyces sp. WW5-3s. RNAcentral describes it as "bacterial SSU rRNA". It matches the Rfam family "Bacterial small subunit ribosomal RNA". The record is from RNAcentral. Lineage: Bacteria; Bacillati; Actinomycetota; Actinomycetes; Kitasatosporales; Streptomycetaceae.
CGGUCCCCCCUUUAAAGCCCUUCGGGGCUGGAUUAUUUGGCGAACGGGUGAGUAACACGUGGGCAAUCUGCCCUGCACUCUGGGACAAGCCCUGGAAACGGGGUCUAAUACCGGAUAUGACCGUCUUGGGCAUCCUUGACGGUGUAAAGCUCCGGCGGUGCAGGAUGAGCCCGCGGCCUAUCAGCUUGUUGGUGAGGUAAUGGCUCACCAAGGCGACGACGGGUAGCCGGCCUGAGAGGGCGACCGGCCACACUGGGACUGAGACACGGCCCAGACUAAUACGGGAGGCAGCAGUGGGGAAUAUUGCACAAUGGGCGAAAGCCUGAUGCAGCGACGCCGCGUGAGGGAUGACGGCCUUCGGGUUGUAAACCUCUUUCAGCAGGGAAGAAGCGAAAGUGACGGUACCUGCAGAAGAAGCGCCGGCUAACUACGUGCCAGCAGCCGCGGUAAUACGUAGGGCGCAAGCGUUGUCCGGAAUUAUUGGGCGUAAAGAGCUCGUAGGCGGCUUGUCACGUCGGUUGUGAAAGCCCGGGGCUUAACCCCGGGUCUGCAGUCGAUACGGGCAGGCUAGAGUUCGGUAGGGGAGAUCGGAAUUCCUGGUGUAGCGGUGAAAUGCGCAGAUAUCAGGAGGAACACCGGUGGCGAAGGCGGAUCUCUGGGCCGAUACUGACGCUGAGGAGCGAAAGCGUGGGGAGCGAACAGGAUUAGAUACCCUGGUAGUCCACGCCGUAAACGGUGGGCACUAGGUGUGGGCAACAUUCCACGUUGUCCGUGCCGCAGCUAACGCAUUAAGUGCCCCGCCUGGGGAGUACGGCCGCAAGGCUAAAACUCAAAGGAAUUGACGGGGGCCCGCACAAGCGGCGGAGCAUGUGGCUUAAUUCGACGCAACGCGAAGAACCUUACCAAGGCUUGACAUACACCGGAAACGUCUGGAGACAGGCGCCCCCUUGUGGUCGGUGUACAGGUGGGUGCAUGGCUGUCGUCAGCUCGUGUCGUGAGAUGUUGGGUUAAGUCCCGCAACGAGCGCAACCCUUGUCCCGUGUUGCCAGCAGGCCCUUGUGGUGCUGGGGACUCACGGGAGACCGCCGGGGUCAACUCGGAGGAAGGUGGGGACGACGUCAAGUCAUCAUGCCCCUUAUGUCUUGGGCUGCACACGUGCUACAAUGGCCGGUACAAUGAGCUGCGAUACCGUGAGGUGGAGCGAAUCUCAAAAAGCCGGUCUCAGUUCGGAUUGGGGUCUGCAACUCGACCCCAUGAAGUCGGAGUCGCUAGUAAUCGCAGAUCAGCAUUGCUGCGGUGAAUACGUUCCCGGGCCUUGUACACACCGCCCGUCACGUCACGAAAGUCGGUAACACCCGAAGCCGGUGGUCCCAACUCUUAUGUAGUAAGGU